Molecule: RNA transcript, 5481 nt
Organism: Raphanus sativus (radish)
Lineage: Eukaryota; Viridiplantae; Streptophyta; Magnoliopsida; Brassicales; Brassicaceae
Exons: 2
Source: RefSeq, a predicted model, not a curated record
UCAACUCAAGCUCCAAAGUCCUGUUUUUCUCUUACUCUAAGAGAAGAGCUUCUUCAAGUUUAGUGACCUUUGCAGCCAAAAUUUUUGUAUCCUCUUGUUCAGCCUCACGACCUUGGUGUUGAAAACGAUCCGGUGGCUUGCGGUCGAUGUGUCGGUUAAAAUUAUUUCUUCCUGAACCAUAUUUCAUAUGUUUCUUUUGUGAAUCCAAAAAAAUAUUGCCAUCACUUCCUUCGCAGAUACGUACGAGUUCUGGUUUUGGACCAUCCAUGUGAGCCUCUCUUUGGUUGGACUUACUGCUCUUCCAAAAAUAAUUAUCACUUUGGCCAACUAUUGCCAUCAUCGUUUGAAAGAGAGGAGAAAUAUCCUUGAGAUUAAAGUCAGACAAUGUGUCCAUUUUCGACGAACAUACACUUUGAUUAUGAUGGACAUUAUUCUAAGGAUGGAGAUGAUUAUGAAUGGAUUCCAACCGAUGCUCGUUUGUAUGCUAUAUCCUUUAAUACAUCAUCGUUGGAGGAGAUCACUUAUUCGUUGUUGAAAGAGAGGAUAUGCAGGAAGAUCGGAAUAGAUCCGUUUACGAAGAGGCUCAAUUUGGUUUACAUUCCAUUGGUAGUGGAACCUAAGAGGCAAUCGUAUAUUUUGGAUGAUGAAGAUGUGUUUGUUUAUCUAACAUCAGUGGAUAGAGAGGAAAGGAGAAGUAUUUUGCAUGUGGAGGACAUCGAAGAAUUACAAAUAGUUCAAAUAACCGAGCAACUGUCGAGAGUUGGAGAGAGCUCUUGUAGUAGGAACUAUUGUGAGCGUGAGAGUGGAUAUGGAGAAGAAGAAAAUGUGGGAACAGGUUUGGAGGACGAUGAACAUCCCCACAAGAAACAGAAGAAGAGUAUGUUGUAAACCUUUCGGUUUUAGUUUUGAUGUAAAUUAGGUUCUAAAUUAAGUUCUAAGCCUUUCACUUUCUGUUUUGAUGUUUGCCUUUCACUUUCGGUUUUGGUGUUUUUAUCAUAUGGGAACGUUGUGCGGUGAAAUAAAUUUUAUUUGUGUGUUGUAUAACUAAGUGAAACUGGUAUAACUACGUUAUGUAAACUGAAUAACAUGAUUGUAAAUUCUAAAGUUUUUAAUUUAAUUUUAUAAGUCAUGGAAGUAGUACGCUUUUAGUUUAUUAGUAGUGUUAUGUUAAUUAUGAUUUAAUAAGAAUUAUUAAAAUUAUUAAAAUUAGUAAAAUUCCAUCUCAUUGCUCGUAGCAAUCGUAUAGGAAAUACAAUGUGUUGUCAUAGCUUUAUCGCUGAAACUGACUGAGUUAGAUUUGAUAACUCUAUGGCACGAAAUCAAGUUUAAUGUACGUGAUCGUAUGGGAAAUGAACUUAGGAAACAUAAUUGCAUUGGUAUAACCACAAAAUCAUUAAUUUAAGUAGAGUAUAACUAAGAUAAAUAGAAAUAAUUAAAAAGUGCAACUUUGAAGCUUUCUGUAAAACUGAGUACUUGGUGAAACUUACAACAGAAAAAACCCUGGGAUUAAUUUUCCCGCUCAGCUUUUCGAAUUUCUAAUUUCCCUCUUCCCAAUUUACUAAAACCCCAGAAUCGUUCAAUCGAAGUAUUAAACACCCUUUUUUAGGUUUUCCCCAUUUGCUAUCUUCAUUUUCUCUCUCUUCCCUAAAUCUCUCUCCUCUCUCUCCUCGACCUCACUCCCUCCCCUCCCAAAAACCUAGAUGUCCGCCGCUUCAUCAUCCACGACCGGUGGUCGGAGACGGGUACGAACUCCGGGGAUACCUAGUAGGUGUUGGUGCGGGGUGGGCGUCACCGAGCUCAUCUCCAGAAGCUCGGCAAACCCAUAUCGCCGGUAUUAUCGGUGUCUCUCUGUGGCUUCACAGAGGGUACAUCCGUUUGUUGUUUACAUAUGGAACGCUUAUGAAUCACGCUUACUCGUUUUGAAAAAAAAUCAUGUAGCUCGAGAACGACAAUCAUGUCUUCAAAUGGGUUGAUGAAGCCUUCACCGAUGAGAUACAGCAGCUGGACUACCAAGUUCGAAUACUCGAAGAAGAAGUUCAGAGUCUCAAAGCAACAAUAAGGAACGAAGGAGAUAUCCGCGAAGGUCCCAAAAAGAUGCCCAUGAUAAAGAUAUCAGGAGGUUGUGUUCUUCUUACCAUCGUUUUAGUUUUAGGAAUUAUGAUGUACAAAAAGUAAUUGAAAUUCCUAAGAGAAUUCCAAUUCCUAGAACUAACUGUUAUUGCUAAGCUAUGUUUUUUUAAGUUAUGCGAAGUUGAACAAUCGCUGUUUGAUCUAUCGAAAAAGUAACUGUUAUUGCUAAGCUAUGUUUUUCUAAGUUAUGCGAAGUUGAACAACCAUGGGGUUUGAAACAAGUAAGCGUGAAACCAAAAGUUGAAACAAGUGAGAUUGAGUGAAACCAAAAGUUGGAACAAGGGAUUAAGUGAAACCAAAAGUUGAAACAAGUGAGAUUGAGUGAAACCAAAAGUUCAAACGAUUAAGUGAAACAAGUUGAAACAACGAAAUUUUCACAAGACCAUAACAGUGAGAACAACACGAUUUACACAAGACCUUCAAUCCCAUAUUUUUGAACAUAAGGGUCGCUGUUUAGUAGAGACUGCCUGAAGUCCUCAACCUCGGUCAAACGCGGAUUGAACCUGAAGUCUGAAAGUCCACCUUCGGUCUCAAGCCAUAGAUCAGGAGGAUCAAAUAAAUAUGUAUUAAUGUAAAUGAUUUUAGUAAACGUUUUAGUCCACUAUCAUAUUCAAAACUAGCCACAGAAACUACACUUACUCCAACACUUGCAGACCUUCCACAUCUUAAGGGCCACAAUCACCUGUCCACCUUCCACAUUUUCAAGACCAUCCCGGAAGGCAUAGGCCUGCUUGCCAGUUGCCACACAUUUAAUCUGGCUGUCACUAUUCAGAAUAAAUAAAACGUGUGUCAAUUACAAUAUAAAUAAAUUUUGCUUGGAUCAUAUGUUACUUUCUACUUACAUGUUGUCCCUUAUGUAAAAAAUCAUCGUUGGUCUUGCAGGGUCAUCGAAACGGGCUUCCGUAUUGAAGACCACUCCAAUUGUAUCUACCAUAUAAGUGUAACUCAACUAAAUCAGUUCGUUUCACUUAGUUUCACUUACAUCUACAGAGUCAUACAAAGUUCUGAAACUAAAUAUGUGACUAUAUGUGAAUAUAUUUAUUUUAGCAGCAUUCGUACCUAUGGGAUAGUUUCGUUCCCUGUGGGACAUGUGAGGGAUUGCAUGGAUGUUCUUGAAGUCCAUGAAAAGCCGAUUGUUCAGAGGAUCGAUCAUGCGGACUUGUGUGAGUCGCGAAGCAGUUAGUCUGAACCGAGAGUUAGUUGCAUUGAAACCUACAUAGGAACGUUCAACUCCUACCCGAAAGAUUUCCACCCAUUCUCCCUCCUUGUUUUCGAGGCCUCUAAAACUUUCAUAAUCUUCAUAAACGGUCAUCUCCAUCUUGCACUCCUACAUAAAUAAAGUACAAGGAUCAAGUUAAAUGAUGAUGAAAAACUUGAGAGAUGAUGAAAAACUUGAGAGAUGAUGAAAAAACACUUACAUCUUCAUCUGCUAGGACAUAGGAAUAGAAAGGCAUAACCCUAUUGGUAACCGAGGAAUAGAGAGGGUAGACCCUGUGUACUUUGACUCUGAAACGCCAAGCCUUGACGUCGGGGUUAUAAGAAGCCUCGGAAAUCUGGGAAAGCUUAUUGUAGUAGUCUGUCAUCUUGUUUGUAGAGAUGAGAGAAUUUCACUCAGAGAUGAAAGAAGAGAAGAUAGAACUCGGAUAUGAGAUGAAAUAAGAGAAUUUGCAGAGUUGGAGUUUAACUAAAUGCAAUGGUGAUGAUGAAGAUGUGUAGUUUAACUAACUCGGUGUAGUGUUGUGACGUUUCACGUUUGGUUUCAAUGCAAGUGUAGUGUAGAGUCGCAAGUGUAAUGAUUAUUAUUAGAGACUUUUUCAAUCGAUUAAUUACUUCAUUAAUUACUCUAUCCUCUGUCCAUCAAUACCAUUAAUUACUGGAUUUUUCUAAAAAUUUUUAAUGAUCUCUUUUAUUGCUUGCUCAGUAAAUAAUUCAUAAUCCUACCAUAAAAAGUAAAUAAUCCAUAAUAUUAUAUUUAUUUUCAAAAUAUAAAACAAUAUAAUACCUAAUUUUUUUAAUUUUUACAUAGUUCCAUAUAUUUACACUAUAAAUUCAAUAUAAUUUUACUUAGUUUCAUAAAUUUAGACAAUUAAUAUCAGUUAGUUUCACUUAAAUUGUCAGAAGCGUGCGUGAGAAGUCGUGUAGCGUUGCAAAUAUCAAGGGUCACGACGCUAUGGUCAUAAAUCAGGUCAUAAAUCAUGAAAUGACAGAUUUUUCUCAAACUAAAUAUUUCAAUUAUUAUUUCUUAUAAUUUUUGUUAUCAUUAAAUAAUCCACUCCGUAUAAUUAAUUUUUCGAUUCUGCUUCUAUUUAGAGUUUUGCAAAAUAUAAAACAAUAGAAUAUCUAAAUUUGUUAAUUCUUACAUAGUUCUAUAUAACUACACUAAAUUUUUCUUAGUUUCAUAAAUUUAGACAAUCAUAAAUCACUUAGUUUCACUAAAUUUUUCCUUGACAUACGACUGUUCUUAUUCCCUGUACUUGCAGUGAGAAGUCGUGUCUUAAGCCGUCUAUCAAAUCACACCCUUAAGUGGGAUAGUAAAUGCAAUCUUAUCUCUAUUAUAAAUAACACGUAAAUCUUUCCAUUUACUCGAUUAAACGAAUAUCUCUCAAGUUUUUCAUCAUCCUUGUACUCUAUGUCGAACUUCAACUUGGAAUCUGUCCCUCCUUCCAUCCUCCAUAAGAUUCUCUCAAAGGUAGCAACAAACCACAUCCGGGACUUCGGUAGUGCUAGAAUUGCUUUCUUCGGGUUCAAUCAAAUAGGCAGAGACGACUACUUCUACCAAUCUGCUAAUCUCAUUGGCUUUAAUGAUUGGAUUGAUGAGGUUAAUGCUGUAAGAACAUUCCGACUUAGGUGCUACCAAGCCGGUAAUCCAGAGGCCAUCUACCUACGAGGUAUGCAUGAGUUCUUUCAACUUCAUUUACUUGAUGAAGGAAGAGAGAAAAUCCAUCUUGCUGCUGAGAGAGGAUUGGAGUUGGCCAAGUUUGUAGAUGGAAUGCUGAACUUAGCGUUUAGUGUAGAUGAUGGAGGGUUGUUUCACAAAUAUCCUAACUUUAGUCGUGAGUUUGUUCAUCGGAUGAAUUGCAUGAUCCAGACUGAUCUACCCUCAGGCCAUUGGGGUUACGACAAACCUCAAGAGUUUAUGUCACUACUUGAAAGAAUAAAGAAUCCCAUCUUCUCAAAUGAUUGCUAGUGCUCCGCAAUAGAAGAACCGGUGUUUGUAGUCUCCUAUAAUGGAUCAAUAACACAGUGGAAGUGCGAUCGUUGUUUCUGGCAAUGUGAAGUUUGAGACUUCUGCAAUGAAAUUCACUUGACAGCUGCCUACUGGCCAAUUGAAGAUUAGUUGUGGUGUUUAUU